AGGGUAUGAUCCUUACCCACACUACUAUACCUUACUUAUGCUCUGGCGUCGUGUGUGAAAUGGGCUCAUUUCCACUCACAGCGUACUCUUAUCUUUAGGCACUUUUAGGUUUAAAUUUAUUCACAUUUUCCACAUCACUAUACUUUAUGGCUUCGUCACCUUCUAGGUGUCGGCCAGCACAGCUUGAUUCGAAGUCCUAGUGGACAUUCUGGGUCGGGGUGUGUCAUGAUGUGGUAGUGUUAACUGUUUAGAAUACAACGAUGCUUAAAACCCAAAAGUUUGCAAGGUAGUGACUAAUUGUGACACCUCUAGAACAUAAAUUACAAUUUGGUCAUGGAUGGAUUCUUUGGAUUGUUAGAUCCGGAUCCAAUGCCUUCUUGUUAAAAUUGUAUAAAGGUGAAAUGUUCAAAUCCUUAUUCUUUUGAAAAGAAGAAAGAAUCACAAAGUUGUUGAGGUUAAUUCACUUUGAUGUUAGGGGCACUUGUCCACAACAUAAUACUACUUAUGUUGUAUGACAUUCACUGAAGAUCGCUCUCGGUUGGACUAUCGUUUAUUUUGAAUAAACACAAGUCCAAAUACUUUGCAAAAGGUUUCAAAGAAUUCAAGAAUGUAAGUUGAUGAGUAAGACGUCUAAAGUAUUUACCUCCUUAGAUUUGAUCCAAGGAAAAAUAACACUUUAAAAGAGUUUCCUUGAAAGAUAUCAAGGAAAGUAGCAUCAAAUACCCAUAUAUAGGAUAUAUACUUCUAAGACAAUAUGAUUGUCAAUUAGAAGAUCUUCCAAAAUUUUCAUGACUCCAUAGGAUCUAGUUGGAAAGAAAGACAAGUCUUAAGCGUGUUAAGAUUUGGGGUUAUGUGCUAAUAAGCAAUAUUUGUUUGAGAACAAUCUUGUGGGAUAUCCUUAAAUCAACCUUUGGAUAUCACUUCUAUAAACCAACUAACAAAUGUUAUUUGUUGGGUAGUUCAUUGUAAUCAUACAAUAGAAUUUGCCUAAGAUGGAGCAAAUGAAUGAGAGAUAGAACUCGAAGAAUGGGUUCUUUGAGAGACAAGAUGAUAAUCAAUAAAUAUAAACAAUCUAGUUCCUACACCACUAGCUCCAAGGGAGUCGAGAAGGAUUUAUAAACCGUCUUAGUUGAAUGGUUUGAACUUUAUGACUAUGUCAUUGAGUUACACCUCUUAAUUUGAAAGAAAUAAGAAUGAAAAUCUUUAUGACUACAUUAAGUGUAUAUAUGACAUAUACUCAAGGAAAUGGUACAAUACCAUUUGACCCGAAAUAGUGAAACCUUCACGACUAAUUGGUAGCUUAAGGUGGCAACAAUCAACGAGAUUGGUUGACUUGGAAGAAACCAACUUUGACGUAGUCUUGGUUUCUGUUAAUUCGAAGAUUGCUAGCUACAACUAAACGGUGAUUCAAUGUUUGGACAUAAUAUGGGUUUCCAAAACCAUUAUCAAGAUAGUCUUGAUAAUAUAUGUCUAAGACUAGGAAUCAUAAGACGUGUAAGUUGUAGAGAUCCAUCCAUCAUGAAUCUUAGCAAGCUAGUGGGAGCUAUAAGUGUCUUAUGAGAGAAAGAUCAAAUCGAUUGAUUUUUCAUAAAGAUGUAAAUGAAUCUUUUGUUUACUAGGUUUACAAAAGAUUAGUGGGAGUUAAUCAUAUUCCUAAAUUUGAACAUAUAUGAUAUAUUAAUUUUAGAAAUGAAAGGAAUUCUUCUUCAUUAAAGUUAUGACUUUAAACAUUCUAUAACGAUAGAAUGUAUAUGGGAGACAUAGUCUAUAUACAAGGGAUGGAAAUCUAUAAUGAUAGAUUUCAAGAUAUAAUUGGAUUAUCUCAAUCCUAAUUGAUAGACGAUAGAUGUAGGAAGUUUCUCGAAUGAUAAACUGUAAAUCAAAGGACAAUUCCAGUCAGAUUGGGAGUUGCUCUUCUAAAAGGGAAUGUACCAUUUUGACUCCCAAAGAAGCAUAAAGCAUAAAUAGAAUCCUUUAUGUAUACGGAGAAAGGUGAUUUACGUAUUUCAUAUUGUAUGAAAAACAUUGAUAUGAGUUGUGCCAAGAUAGGUACAAGACGAUAUCAGUGCAAGCCCAGGAUCAAAACCAUGGCAACUGUCAAGUGAGUCCUUAAGUAUUUAAGAAAUAUUAAAGGAUAGAUUCCUCAAGAAUGAGGAAGAAUUAGAGUAACACAAUGGAAGAGUAAAUGUAUUAGAUUAUGAAUCUAAUAUCGUAUCCAUCAUUGGAUGUCUCUUCAUUUUGAAUGAAGAGAUAAUUGGAUAUCUCUUUAUUAUGACUAAAGAGAUAUUUGGGUGGAAACGUUAAAAGUAAUGACUUUAGUGUAUUCCAUCAUGCAAAAUAUAUCGCCAUAUAGAAGCUUACAACAAUGUUGUUUGGAUGGGAAAAUUCAUUUAAGAACUCUCCCUUCGGUUCUAACCAGAAAGUGUCUCUAGUGUACCCACACUACGACACUAAUGGGGCUAUAGCUCAAGCCAGGGAAUCAAGGUCUCAUCAAGAUCCGAACUCAAAUGAGAGACUAAACCAUAUGAUUGAGAAUCAUGGAUAAUGGUGACGUUGUUAUUCUCAAGUUGCUGAUAUUUUUGGAAUGAAUUCAAAAGAGGUAUCAUCACUGAUGACUAAGUUGAUUGGCUCUAGUGCAAGUGGAAGAUUGUUGGAAAUCUACCCUAAAGCCAAUCAUAUGAUGAUACUUUACGGACAAUUCACAUGUUAAACUAAUCUAGUUUAAUAUAAAGGGCAAAGAUUAUUGUUUAAAGCUGUCUUAUAUAAAUGUUAUAUGCUUAAACGAUAACUCCAAGGAAUAUGUAAUUGGGAGAUUGUGAUCUAAAGAAGUUAGAUUCACGAGACCAUUCUUUUUUGUAUACAUAUCCUAAACGUUCUUGAUCAUAGGAUUGCAAAUUAGGCAUUGACAGUCCAUUAAGAUCAGUACAUGCUAUGUCUUCUCUUAGGGAGAGUAACUGGUCUCGAGUCAUUGGUGUGACUGAUACCAAGACAAGCAUGUAGGUGCUCAAUGGAGAGUGAGUCCACUGAAUGCGAUCAACAAGGAGUUCUCAUACUCAUGUCACAUGAGAACUCAUGGUUGGGAUAAUGCAAAGUAGUCAUUUAACCUGAAGCAUCAUAGUUGUCUUGUGGUUAGGUCCUUGAUCUUUGACUAUGUCAAAGUCACUCCGUCAAAGGGAGUCCACGACAUAAUUGGGGUUAAGGCACUUAGUCAUGGAGGCAAGUGAAUGCACAACAAGGGAUCUCUAACCUUUAAACCGUUUGAGAAAGAAUACUCUAUGAUAUGAUUAAGAAUCUCUAGCCAGAGUAUGAAUGAGAUUUAGGAAGUCGUUCCAAAUCACAUUCAAGGUAAUCAUAUAAGUAAAAGAAUCACAUUGGAUAGUAGACAUGAAUAAACUAUCAAACCAAACAAUGUGGUCAAGAGUAUUGUAUUAGAGAAAGACCGUAUUGCAUUGUAAUCCUAAACUAAAUAAGUUCUCCACCUCUUUUGAUUAGCUUGGGUAGCCAUGAUAUACUGCUAAGUGUCACUCUUGGUUUGUGGAAGCCCUAAAGGUGUAUAAUCACUAAAGGAAGAAUUGAAAAUAUGUUUCAAUUCAUAAUCGAUUUGAAGAGUUCUAAUCGCUCACUACCUCACUAAAAGAAACCUAAUGAAUCCUACACCGUGUAAGGUAGAUAUUGAAGAAACAACGGAGAAGAGUAAGGAUAAUUAAAUGGUUUAAUUAUCUAUGGUUAGGAUUAAGUAAUAUGUUAAUUAAUCAAACGAAUAAGUUCGUAUUAGACCUCAGGUUAGUUUUGGGCCUCAAGGUCCAAUGGGAUUUGAAUGUGAAGUCUAAUAACUCAAGUUGUAUGACAACUUGAAAAUUCAAAGGGCUUGAAAGCCCAAUAAACCCAUCAAGGCCGGCCGUAAGAGUGAGGGGUAGUAAAUUUGGCUUAAUUGCAAGUUUGCCACUAAAAUGUGAGGUGGUAUAAAUGCAUCUUUAUAGCCAUUUCUUCAUUAAGGGUUUUCUUUGA
This 4008-nucleotide long non-coding RNA is filed under the name Malus domestica (apple). RNAcentral describes it as "long non-coding RNA (MDOM_LNC013159)". The record is from RNAcentral. Lineage: Eukaryota; Viridiplantae; Streptophyta; Magnoliopsida; Rosales; Rosaceae.